Molecule: ribosomal RNA, 478 nt
Filed under: uncultured bacterium
Lineage: Bacteria
Description: partial 16S ribosomal RNA
Rfam family: Bacterial small subunit ribosomal RNA
Source: RNAcentral
GAUGAACGCUGGCGGCGUGCUUAACACAUGCAAGUCGAACGAAGCACUUUAUUUGAUUUCCUUCGGGACUGAUUAUUUUGUGACUGAGUGGCGGACGGGUGAGUAACGCGUGGGUAACCUGCCUUGUACAGGGGGAUAACAGUUGGAAACGGCUGCUAAUACCGCAUAAGCGCACGGCAUCGCAUGAUGCAGUGUGAAAAACUCCGGUGGUAUAAGAUGGACCCGCGUUGGAUUAGCUAGUUGGUGAGGUAACGGCCCACCAAGGCGACGAUCCAUAGCCGACCUGAGAGGGUGACCGGCCACAUUGGGACUGAGACACGGCCCAAACUCCUACGGGAGGCAGCAGUGGGGAAUAUUGCACAAUGGGCGAAAGCCUGAUGCAGCGACGCCGCGUGAGCGAAGAAGUAUUUCGGUAUGUAAAGCUCUAUCAGCAGGGAAGAUAAUGACGGUACCUGACUAAGAAGCACCGGCUAAAUAC